Anolis carolinensis (green anole) is the source of this 3429-nucleotide long non-coding RNA. RefSeq lists it as uncharacterized. Lineage: Eukaryota; Metazoa; Chordata; Lepidosauria; Squamata; Anolidae. The record is from RefSeq and is a predicted model, not a curated record. The transcript has 3 exons.
AGUGGCUGGGAGGUGGUGAUGGAGUUUGGGGGUGUUUAUGGGGGACCGCCUGGGGGACAGGGCUAUGAAUUGGCCCUUUCCCAGGGCCUCAGAGGGUCAUAUGGGGCCGUGGAGGGCCGUGGAUCAUGUGGCCCUGGCAGUUGUUGGAAGUGUGAAAGAAUGCGGAAGCAAGUCAGAGAGAGGCAAGAACAUGGCGGAAAGACAAAAAGUCAGAGAUGAUUUCAUUUUUAUCAGUGAUUGAGGCAACCAAGGGAUGGACAAGCUUCCUGGGUGUUGGUAGCCGCUGCAGGGCUCCUCCAGACCUGGGGAUGUUUGCUGAAUUCAUAAAGCACAUUGUUGAAAACUGGAUGUUUGCUGAAGUAUUUGGAGGCUGAGUGAGAACAUGGCUGGACUCCUCAUCUGUCAUUUUGCUAACAGUGACAUACUUUAACACUGUUAAAGUGUUUUAAGAUGCUUUGGAUUACAACCUCUACCAUCCCUAGAGUAAUGAAGAUUUUAUUCCAACUCAACUGGAGAGCACAACUCUCGCUGCAGCUUGCACAGCAGGUUAAAACCACCAGCUAUAGAAGACCUGCCGACUGGAAGGUUGGCAGUUCAAGUCACGGGCUGGGUGAGCUCCUGCCAUCAUCUUAGCUUCUGCCUACCUAGCAGUUCAAAAACAGUAAUGUGAGUAGAUAAAUAGGUACCUCUGCUUUGGCGUGGAGGUAAAAGGUGGCCUCGAAAAAACAUGUUGGUGGAAGGCAUCCAUGGACAACAAGCUCCUCGGCAUGGAAGAAUGGAACAAUAGCAUUUCCCCAUGGCCGUGUCAAACACAGCCUCCAGAUGCCAGGAAAAAGAGGGAAGCCUUGCCUCUGUUUAUGUUACUGUCUGUCUUUGUCAAUUGUAUAAUGGCAUUGAAUGUUUGCCAUAUAUGUACAUGUAAUCCGCCCUGAGUCCCCUCGGGGAGAUAGGACAGAAUAUAAAUAAAGUAUGUUAUAAUAAUAAUAAUAAUAAUAAUAAUAAUAAUAAUAAUAAUAAUAAUAAUAAUAAUAUUGAUAGACUUUCCACAUGAUACAGCAAGCAUAACAGUGAAAUAUUCACACAUAACAGUAAAAUAUUGGUAGCUCUAUUUCUAAAAUUCCAGCAACAGGUCUGCUUUCCUUUAAACAGUUCAUGCUUGUCCCUUAUCACAUUACACUGUUAUAUUACUAUAUUUGUUCCACUCUAAAUGCCAUAACAACAUUCUGUGGAAUUCUGGGGUUUGUAAAUGAGUUGAAGCCCAAGAACUCUCUGGUUGAGAGUUGGAAAUACUCUCUAAACUGCAAAUCCCAGGAUUCCAUAAAAUGUUGCUAUAGUAGUUCAAGUGGAAUAUAAUGCUAUACGAGUGUCGCAUGAUAAGGUCUGCAGGUGUACCUAUUUCUGUUUCAUCGUCUGUGCUACUUUUAUGCUAGUUCUUUCGUUUUCUUCUAUUCAUUCCAUAUUAUAGGAAGUUAAUAAAAAUAAAAGCUGAGAGGACAAUCAUGCCUAAAGGGAUGCCAAUAAUUCCUGUGCUGGUAUUCACUGAACUGAUUCUUUAUGCAGAUGUUUCGUUGCUUCGUUCUGACCCUUUGACAUUCAGAUUUGCACAUUCCAGUUUUUACAGAACAUGGCACGCAAGAAGAAAUGCAAUGGAGCAUAUCCAAGCAUACAACAGCCUAUGUGAAUGUUACUUUUUUGGACAAUAACUCCAAUAAUCUCCUUGCCAGAUUGGCUGCUGGAUGCAAUUUACCAACUGGUCCAAUUGGUAAAGCCAUUGUUCCUUUUGCACACCCCACUUGAUUCUUAUUUAGCAGGCUGAGAACCAACUACCUCCAUCUCAAGAGCCAAGUUAGUUUCUAAUUCUGAACUAAUAACCUUUCCUGCAGAUACUUUCGACAGAGCCUCCCAUCAGCAAUGACCAUUGUUCAUAUUAGUUGGGGCUGAUAGUGGUUGUAGUCCAGACACCACUAUAAGUGAUAGGGCAGUCAUACUGAAGCCCCUUUUACACUGCCACGUAAAAUCCAGAUUAUCUGCUUUGAACUGGAUUAAAUGGCAGUGUAAAAGGGGACUGGCUUAAGGUUUGGGAGUUUGGUCCAACCUCAGUUCAGCACCUGAUGGAUAAUUCUAAUUUAAAUUUCCCUUUGAAUUGGGCCACACACACCAUAAAGAGCAAAAUUAGUUCAAUGAGUGUAAACUACUUUUGAACUUUGAACACAGCUUGAAACAAUUAAAGUAAACUGAGAACUAAGGGAGAAAACUCAGUGGAGGAGAGAGAAACCAGAAUAUUAUAAAAGCAACUCAAAAUUGGGGACAGCAGAGGAUUAAUCUGCUAAAUUGGAACAGUUCGAAGGUAUGAAAGGGUGACCAUCAGAAUCAUCAAUGUACACUUACAACGGAACUUAAUAAAUCCAAUGAAUCCACUGUAUCUGGCAGAAAUGGGUCAAAGUGUGGCUAUUUUGUGAACGGCUGGGCAGAUCAAGGAGAAACAUCUGGCCUUCUGGCUGGCCUUGUACAGCUGCCAAAACAAGCUUAGCAUAAACGUGGUGCCCUCAUUCCUCAGUAAGAUUGCACUGAUUGAUUGCAAUCCAAUCCAUAUUGUGACAACCUGAAAUGCUCCCACUACUUCCACAGGUACGGGUGCUGGAAACACUGGAAAGCCUCCCCCCCCCUUUUUUUUUUUUCCUUGGUGACUGCCCCUAGGUUCUGGAAUUCCCUUCCAUGGCAGAAGAGACCCUUUUAAUUAUUUUAGAGGCUUUUAGAACUGAAGGGUUUUAAGGGAAGCUUUUUAGGGACAUAUUUUGUUUUAAAUAGGGCAGCGUUAAAAACUGCUUUUAUAUCCUUUGUAAGUGUUUCAGCAUGAUUAAUGAUUUGAUUCUAGUUUAACGUUGUCUUUUUGUAUGUUUUGAUCAAUACUAUCAAUCACUUUAAUUUAUCAACUGCCUUGAGUCUUUGUGGAAAAGAUGAAGUAGAAAUAAGUACAAUGACAAUACUAACACUUUGGCCUGGAAGCAAGUUCUGUUGACGAAAGUGGAGAAAAUCUGCAUAGUCAUAUUUAAUACUGCAAUGUAAUAACCCUGAAUCCAGGGAGAGGGCAGGUGCUAGGAUUUUCCUUCUCAUUUUGCCCAAAUGUAUAAAUGGAAAGAGAAGAUUUAAACAUGUAACUGACAAGGGUUGUGAUUAACUAAAGUCGUACUGUCGAAGGCUUUCAUGGCUGGAAUCACUGGGUUGCUGUGAGUUUUCUGGGCUGUAUGGCCAUGUUCCAUGUUCCAGAAGCAUUCUCUCCUUAUGUUUCACCCACAUCUAUGGCGAAAAAAAUUUCGGGCGGGGUUUUGAAAAUUUCGGGGGGUGGGGAGUUGACCCCCUGACCCACCCGCGCCGCGGGUUCAGACCUGUCAAUAUCUGCUUGAGAUAUCUGCUUGGUUAACCAGUUAA